UGGGGAAUAUUGGACAAUGGGCGAAAGCCUGAUCCAGCCAUGCCGCGUGUGUGAAGAAGGUCUUCGGAUUGUAAAGCACUUUAAGUUGGGAGGAAGGGCAGUUACCUAAUACGUAUCUGUUUUGACGUUACCGACAGAAUAAGCACCGGCUAACUCUGUGCCAGCAGCCGCGGUAAUACAGAGGGUGCAAGCGUUAAUCGGAAUUACUGGGCGUAAAGCGCGCGUAGGUGGUUUGUUAAGUUGGAUGUGAAAUCCCCGGGCUCAACCUGGGAACUGCAUUCAAAACUGACUGACUAGAGUAUGGUAGAGGGUGUGGAAUUUCCUGUGUAGCGGUGAAAUGCGUAGAUAUAGGAAGGAACACCAGUGGCGAAGGCGACCACCUGGACUGAUACUGACACUGAGGUGCGAAGGCGUGGGGAGCAAACAGGAUUAGAUACCCCAGUAGUCCCUGAGCGGGCUGGCAAGGCGCAU
This 471-nucleotide ribosomal RNA is filed under the name uncultured bacterium. RNAcentral describes it as "bacterial SSU rRNA". It matches the Rfam family "Bacterial small subunit ribosomal RNA", at positions 355 to 825 of the family's 1533-position model. The record is from RNAcentral.